CAAGGCGGGAGGGAGCGUGCGGGGGAGAGGUGUUUGCGUGCGCGUGUGUAAGUGUGAGAGUGACCGUGUCGGCGCAGGGAGGGGAGGGGCCUUGAACGGGGAGAGAAAAGGGAGGGAUCCGUGCACGGAGACAGAGACAGACGAUCAUGGACAGCAAACUACGCAGAUGUUAACGUAGGACCAAAGGCUGAGAGCUCAUCGAUGGACAAAUGGUUGCUGAAGAACCCUCAAUCUUUCUGCAUAUGUAAUGGGGACAGGAGUCACAGGAAGAAUGCACCUUCCCCCGUCACCGCUGUGGGGUGCUUCCGUUUCCUGGGCUCCAUCAUCACCCAGGACCUCCAGCGGGAGCUGAACAUCAGCUCCAUCACCAAGAAGGCUCAGCAGCCGAUGUUCUUCCUGAGGCAGCUGAAGAGGUUCAACCUGCUUAAGACAAGGAUGGUACACGGCCAUCAUUGAGUCUUUGCAGGAGGCUGCGGCCCAUCAGGACCAAGACCUCCUGCACAGAAACAGCUUCUUCCCGUCGUCAGUUGGUCUCAUAAACCGAGUCCGAGUCCCCCACGGACCCAGACAUUACAUCCCCAGGACAUUUGCACAGUGGUUUCUCACCAUGGAAACAGGUGUACAUACAUAUGUGUUUUAACGUCCUUAUCUUAUUUGUUUAUAUUGUUCAUUUUUAAUUUGACCUUAUUUUACUUUAUCUUACUUUAUUCUCAUAUUGCACCAAACACCAAAAUAAAUUCCUCUAUGUGUAACACACGUGGCAAUAAACGGCUUCUGAUUGUGAUCGAGCAGACCAGGCUUUUCAGCGUCCAACUGCAACGCCCGAAAAACAUGCUGACUGGCCUGAAAAGACACAACACUUUACCACCACUUCUGUUUCCUAGUCAUCAUUAUGUGUGUGUGUGUGUGUCUGAUGGAUGGGCUGCCCUAAUGUAUUCCACCGCAGUUUAAAUUCAUUACGCCACUUUUCCCAGCUGAUUGUGAUUGUGAAAGAGGGGGCACAGGGUGACUAACACACUGUCUCACCAUCCGUCCUCUUUGUCUCCUGUCUUCUCGAUUCUAAAGCGACCUCUCUUUUCGAAUCUGCAUCUCUCUCUGUGUCUUUUUGUCGGUCCCUCUCAUUAGCCCUUGAUGUCCAUCCUGCUGGACUACAGCAUCUCUCGUGGGGUCAACGAGAGACCACAACCUAAUAACUAAAGAGUGGGCAACCGUGAGGAUUUUGCCGACCCCUCCCCAGGCAGACACUUCAUACGCAUGCUCACUGCUCGUGGACACUCACACACCGCCCGUGUGAUUAGUCAGAAGCGGGGGAACCAAAGUGCACUCAACGUGGGUGAAGUGCGGAGAGCGGAGGAUGGGAGGGGAUUAACAAGGAAGAUCGCAAGAUCAACCAGUGCGAGUAGAGGGAAGGCCAGCGGGGCCGAGAUGAAAGCAGGAGAGUCCAAAUGGUUCAAACAAAAUCAUUUCCUGGUGAUUAGCAUUAGCACAUGCACGGAGCAAUGAGGUGAUAUGAUAAUCAGGGCUCAUCACAACUGUGCCCACAGUUCGUCUUACAGUGCUCCCUGUUCUUGAGUCUCAAUCAAUUUAUCCUGCUUCCUUUCUACUACUAGACUACUACUACUCUUUGUAGGAAUGUCUUCAUUUCUUGCAAACAAUUAGAACGGCAAUAAGGAAAUGAAGUCUGAUUAAACAAGAUUUAACAAGCUAACUGGUUAGCUUUACAGGUGCUGCUGCAUGAAUCUUGAUACCUCGGACAAGGCCAGGUUUCCUCAUUUCCAGUCUUUAUGCUAAGCUAUCUUCCAAAAAAGUAAAUAUAUUCCUUUAAUUUAAAGAUACUAAUACAAGCCCUUGAUUUGUGCACGAAUGUAAGUUUCCACUUCUUCUUUCAGAACGCCUUGUCUACGUUGGUCAAAAGCCUGUGCAUGGUUGAUUGUUCUUGACUUUUUUGAAAUGAAGAGUGAUGUGUUUGAAAUCUGGAUGUUUCAGUGUUUAUCUGAAUUUGGUGCUUAUUAUGACUUGCCACUUGAAGGAUUUUAUUGACAUUUCAGCAUAUUUUAGAAAUAUGUUUCAGUUUGUCAGGAAAUUCCACAUGCAGAGACUUGACAUUUGAUAAUUUAUCUCAAUGAGCAGUUUGUGGCCUUAGUCGUAACUGUUUAAAACGCUCACAGCAUUUUCCGAUCCGAGUCCUUUUACCAGCAUUUCACUGCAAAGUGUCCCUCUGCACAAAGUCACACAGGCAACUGGGCAGGUCCUUCUGCAAGAGUGAAGGUACAAAUGACCAGCUUACCUGUGGGACGCAUUCAACAUUCUCCAACUCUAAGUAGGAAGCAUCUGUCACAAUGUUAAAAUCUCACCCCUGACUCUCUGAAACUGAUAAGAUUUUAAAUGUAUUUAUAAUUUGAAUUAAUCUAGAUUUCAAUUUGUUGACAUUUUAUAAAUAUAUAAACAUCACACUUAUUUUUUUUUUGGGGGGGGGAGUCAAAAUGCAGUUUUAUGUUUUGUUUAAAUAGUACAUUCGCCUUUUCAUAUGAGGGGAGAUAUGAGGGAGAUACUAGGUGAAUUAUGUCUGAAAGGAUACAUGAUGAAUUGAAUUCUGUAGGCUGGAUUUCUUUUUGAACAUGUGACAGGGAUCAGACAAGAUGUUGUUUAAUAAAAAGGGAAGAAUCCUCCCAUGCUGCAAUGAAUAGAAACUGAUUCUUGCCUGGGGGGCUUUUCUGUGGAAAAUAAAAAUUUUUGUCGGAACAGUACGUUUCUAACGUAAAGCCUGGCGCAGGCUGCAAUAAUCUGAUUAAAUUGUUAUAUUUCCUUUCCCUACAUUAUCAUUUUGUAUUUUUGGACUGUUUUCAUCGGCGUCAAUCAGCGAAUUCAGUCACCUGCUACCCUCCGGCCACAAAGCAGAUCGCUGAUCGGACUGUUAUGUAAUGAUGACCCGGGGUUUAUUAAAUCGGAAUAGUUUGUCAAUUGAUCUUCUGCCCUGGAUCUUCUCAGUCAAUAAAAUACCCAACAGUCAUUCAAAAUUUAAAUAACUCCCUUGAUUAUUUGGGGCGACAUGCAGAGUAAGUGAUUAAGAACUCAUUAGAAGAAAUUGACAUUUAAACUAUUUUAGUAACAUGGUGAAUAAUAACAGUGUAUCUGCCUUUUAAGAAAUAACCCCUUGCAUAUUUUAGAAAACAACACACAGCAAAACGUGAUGAAUUACCGGCACUUCAAGCUUAAUAUGGCGACUCGGGGGAACUGUCUCUUCAUCAUAAACUUUCCCCUCGUGCUCUCGAAUGGCCCUCAGAGUUCAUGUUGAUGGUAAACUUUAUUACGUUUUUAAGUUUUCAGUUUAUUUAUUUAUUUUAUCAAUCAUGAUCUAUUUACUAUUUAGUGUCUCUUUCAAAUAGCAGUCACGAGGAUGUUGGCUUUAGACCAUCUUUACAUCAUCUCCCUUAGUUAAGUUUCGCUCACACGCACUUUGUCUGGAUUUGUUGACUGGAAAUAGCAAAACAUUUUACAAAUCAUGCUGCUCAGAGCCUGGGAACCAUCCGGCUGCCAGCCCCCCCGCUGCUCUGUGGAGCUUCCAUGCGUCAUAUCGAGGGGCUGGCAUGCAUCAAGCGAUAUUCAUAGUCCAACGCAAAUGAUAAAGACAAGUGAGACAAAAACAACUAAACUUAGGCAUGUUUGCAAAUUAUUCUCUAUUUUAGUUUUUCUCUAAACAUUGGACACCGCAAGAGGAUUGGCUUAAUUUACCUGCUUUAUAUCAUCCAUACGUAUGUUAUAAUGGUAAAGGAAACACUGAUCAGUUUUAUCCAAAGUAGUGAUGUUUGUCUAAACUCUGCUGAACUUGGAAAAGUUCAUUUUCCAAGUUACCAAGAACCAUUUUAUAAAUAGGGCGACCAGAGCAGUAAAUUGCUAAAAUUAGUCGUUUUGAAAUUAAAUGAGCUUUCAAUAUAGAUGUUCAAAUACACAAAAUAAACAUUGAGACAAAAAGGAGGCGCUACUGCAGCCUUACGAUUAGCACUUGGAACCCACAAAGUUUUCAUGUGCGUGACAUGGAGGGACAUUAUACCAAAAAAUAUCAAUAAAGCAUUAUUAAUACCUUCACAAAAAAGUCAUUAAAGGGGUUAAAAGGUUCCCUGUGUAGACCUGCCUGGCGUUCUUCAUCCCUCCAGAGUGGUAAUUGAGUCCAAGACUAAAUUAUCCAACAGUGCAACACUGUUUGUUUUGUAACUUGGCAUACAUUAACAUAAUGCCUGCCGAGCCUGCCACAAGUGUCCCAUCUCAGCCAGAUACGGUAUUCCCUUUCAAAACGUUUUAAGAGAAUUUGUUCAAAAUGGCUCAGUGGAGCAUUACAGCCACGUUUAGUGGGAUUGUUAUGCAUAAAUAUGCUUGAAUCACUUUGUGAGUGGGAUAUUGGCAGAUUUUCCAUUGUAAUGGCUUUUAAAACAACAUAGGUAUGUAGAUGCAGCUUAAAUGUUAACAAUUCACAAAAUUUUGAAAUGUCAUCUUCCAAAAACAACAAUGGCCACAGAACUUACAGCUCGUCUCAUGAAAUCAGUUUGCGACUCAAGCGAAAUUUGCAAAUUAAAUCAUGACCUGUGUAAUCUGGACAUUUUCGUUUUCAUGUAAUUGCUUGGCUGAGCAAAUUAAGAAGUGGGUUGCAUAAAGGACCAGACUUUAAAAUCAAUGUGCAUGAUUGAGUUUUCUUGUGAGGUUAAAUUGGUGUUUUGAACUUCAGCUUUUCUAACCGCAUUCAUAGAAAAGCUUUCAGAUAUAACAACACAUAAUGUCAUAGGUGGCUUCUACCUUGAAGCAAAGUGCAUAUACACAUUAAAUAAAAUAAAAAUAUGCUCUAAAACGGCUUUGUCUGUAUUUCGUAAGUUAUAUCGGAUUUAUAUUUAUUAUAAAAUUAUAUUAUAUUGUUUCGGCCAUGAGUCCCAUACGUACGCUGCACAUCAUGAUUAUAAGCAUGCACGAUACUAAUUAAAAACACCAGGCUAGCUUGUAUAGGCGUGUAAGAAAAUGUAAGUGUGCAUGAGCAAGAAUCUUUGAUGAUUAUUGAGUGUAUGAGGAGAUCCCUGGCUGUGGUACAUUCAAUAACUGAAAAAGAAAGAAGGGAUCUGGGAUUAGAAGCAGCUGUCGGAUGAUUUAGUGUUCUGCUGAGUCAAACUCUUCCCAGCACGCCAUCGAGCAAAAUGUCUUUGAGGAUAUGAGGAUUUGAACCUUCUUGUUGAAACAAACCACCAUCUGUCUUAGUUGAGGCGGUCCUGUUGUCUUGAAACAAACACAUGUUAAUGUAUACAUUGAGUGUGUUAUA
Gasterosteus aculeatus aculeatus (three-spined stickleback) is the source of this 5299-nucleotide non-coding RNA. The record is from RefSeq and is a predicted model, not a curated record. Lineage: Eukaryota; Metazoa; Chordata; Actinopteri; Perciformes; Gasterosteidae.